Molecule: ribosomal RNA, 448 nt
Filed under: uncultured bacterium
Lineage: Bacteria
Description: SSU rRNA
Rfam family: Bacterial small subunit ribosomal RNA
Source: RNAcentral
AGAGCGAACGCUGGCGGCAGGCCUAACACAUGCAAGUCGAGCGCCCGUAGCAAUACGGGAGCGGCAGACGGGAUAGUAACACGUGGGAACGCGCCCUUCGGUUCGGAAUAACUCAGGGAAACUUGAGCUAAUACCGGAUACGCCCUUACGGGGAAAGAUUUAUUGCCGAAGGAACGGCCCGCGUCCGAUUAGCUAGUUGGUGAGGUAAUGGCUCACCAAGGCGACGAUCGGUAGCUGGUCUGAGAGGAUGACCAGCAUCACUGGGACUGAGACACGGCCCAGACUCCUACGGGAGGCAGCAGUGGGGAAUAUUGGACAAUGGGCGCAAGCCUGAUCCAGCCAUGCCGCGUGAGUGAAGAAGGCCUUCGGGUUGUAAAGCUCUUUUGUCAGGGACGAUAAUGACGGUACCUGAAGAAUAAGCCCCGGCAAACUUCGUGCCAGCAGCCGC